Molecule: ribosomal RNA, 163 nt
Filed under: [Acremonium] antarcticum
Lineage: Eukaryota; Fungi; Ascomycota; Sordariomycetes; Hypocreales; Bionectriaceae
Description: Acremonium antarcticum partial large subunit ribosomal RNA
Rfam family: Eukaryotic large subunit ribosomal RNA
Source: RNAcentral
CGGCAACAGCUCAAAUUUGAAAUCUGGUCCUUUCAGGGCCCGAGUUGUAAUUUGCAGAGGAUGCUUCGGGUACGGGUACCUACCGAGUUCCCUGGAACGGGACGCCAUAGAGGGUGAGAGCCCCGUCUGGUAGGACACCCAGCCCAUGUGAAGCUCCCUCGAC